This is a long non-coding RNA of Megalobrama amblycephala (Wuchang bream), 1545 nucleotides long. RefSeq lists it as uncharacterized. The record is from RefSeq and is a predicted model, not a curated record. The transcript is spliced from 2 exons. Lineage: Eukaryota; Metazoa; Chordata; Actinopteri; Cypriniformes; Xenocyprididae.
ACGCGGAGUUGUUUUGAACGUGAACGAAGCUUUCAAGUUGAAACACGUUAAAUAACGUUCGUGCACCGCAAACCUGGGCUGCGUUUCCAAGCGAACUCAGAGUUGCCAACAGAGUUCAAUAAUAACGAUGCUUUCGGGAAACGCCCCCUGAGCGUGAUUGUUGCUCCGCGCAUGCGCAUUAGCGUUCUCUUUGAUCCUGGGGAAUUUGAAAAAGUUGUUUUUCCAAGGUAAGGUUUUCACUUCACCAGUUGCUUAUUAUGGGUACAUUGGUCAUGGGUUUGAUUGAUGAAACAAAGAGUGAAUUAAUCAUUAAACAAUAAAACAGUUUUGAUUUUGUGUGAAAAUGAUUUUUAUCCACUUUGUAAAAGUGCCUGACGUCAUUCAACAAACAGUUUUGCUCCUUGUGAUGUUUUAUUUCAAAGGCUUCUUGUUUACCAGGAGAAAACAAGAUGAAUGUGUGAAAAAACAAAGAAAAAUGAAGAAGUGUCUGACUGAAACCUGUACCGGAAGUUUGUUGUGUCGCUGAUGUAACCGGCAGAUGGCGCUAGUGAUCUUCGCGAGCAACUGCAGACAUGUGCUGUGAUAUAAUCAGAUCUCAAACAUGGCACCACAAAGUGAGCAAAAUCAUUCAUUUAUACGCCCGUUUCCGCCGUAUGAGUAAAUAUUAUAACAUUAUAACACCCGUGAAGCUCAGAGCACGUCUCGGUGAUGUUUAGAGAAUCCCUUCAUCUGCAUUCAGAGAGAUGAUGCCAGCCGAUACUGUCUUCUGACUAGGACAAGCAUAAUAAGGUGUUGGAAAUAAUUAUGUCCUGGGGGACCAAAGCUAGUGAAAGCUUGUAUUUUUCUAAACUGUUCAUUGAAUAUAUCCAAGAAGCGAACGCUGAACUGAGCAGGAAAGUGACACAGUCAAAGAUGUUUAGCUCUUCCCACGGCAGUAUUGAAAUGCAGACAAUAAACCACAUGUUAAUGUAGGAGUGACGGGAUGCAGACGAGCUCUGGGACGGAUCAUAGAGUAGAUACAGCAGUAAAGUCAGUCAGAAAGACUGAAGAUGUUCUCUUCACCUGAACGCUGGUGUGCUGCAGCUGAAGCGAAACUCUCUGUCAUGGACUGCAUUGCAGGGUGAGAGUGGCCAUUUUGUUGGAAGCUGUGAGAUUCACAAUAGCUGUAUAUCAUGAUGUGUAUUGAGAUAAUCACUGGAGGACGGUAACUCAUUCAUUACUCAAAGAGGCUAAGCUGUUCUUUUAAUAGCCUGAAUCUUGAUAAUUCUGUAAAAAACAAUAUUUUUCCUCGAUAGCUUGCAGCAGCAACACUCAUUUCUCCCGAUCAAAAGAUGGCAUAUUUUCAGUACUAAAACAUCUUGUAAGAUUUCAAUUGUUCUGUUUUGUGAUCGGCGUGUCGAUCAUCUCAGGAGAACGUCACCUACUGUCUCUGAUUGAAUGUUUUUACAAGAUCCCAAAGCCUAUUGGAAAUGAUGUCAAAUAUUUAUUUUUCCUAGAACAGCUUUUGUGAAGAACAGAUCUACGCUGCAUAAUUCAGCGUCAGAA